GAACUGCAGUCAAAUUGUGUCGGAUUUAGAAAAUUCGUUAUUCUGGUAUUUUGCAACUCUUAAACUUUGGAAUAUCGUAAUGGAAGAUUCCUUAUGAGGCAUUAUAACGUUACAAGGUAAAAAGUGAUAUGGAUGACAGGCACAAGAAUCCACGGAUAUACCUUAGUGGAGCAAAAAAACGGAAAGCUUUUGAAAAAAAAGAAAAAGGAUCACUUAGAAGUCUUUGCAAAGACUUCCAAACUUGAUAAAUUUUUCCAUGCCACGACUUUAUCUGAUGUAACAGAUGAACGUCAUUUAUUGAAUUCAGKACAGACUGAAAAAUCAUCAUCAGAAACGGAAAAAUUGCUAUUAAACACAAAUUCACAGCAGAACAACGUCAGCGAAAAUGAAGUCGAUACAGCAACUACAGUAGUUUCGGAACAAGAAGAGAAAAAKUACGAUGAUAAAAAUGAUAUUGGGUUCUGGGCAAAUACACUUACGGAAGCAUUGAAAGAUUUUUGGAUCAAACAAGGGUCAACUAAAUUACAGCAGUGCGAAGAAAGAGUUCUAGAAACAUGAUCUGUUCUUCAAUCACGAGAUGAUGGAUACGCAGACCGGAAAUGCAGUAAAAGUCUUUUUCAGCGAACGCUUCCUAAUAAGGAAAAACUUGAUCGUUCUUGGCUUUAUUUUUCACCUUCAACUGGCAAAAUUUACUGCUUUGUUUGUAUCCUGUUAGCUGAAGAACGUGAAUCUCAUUUCAUAAAAAAUGGAUUUUGUGACUGGAGACAUGCUUCAGAACGUGUUGCUGAACAUGAGAAGUCAAAAAGUCAUGUCGAUUCAAUUGUAGCAUAUGCGACCCGGAAAAACCGUAAUGCUUGUUUAGAUCAGGCAAUUCAGCAACAGAUCACACAAAAGACCGCAUACUGGCGUGAAGUAUUAAGAAGGGUUGUCAGCACCAUCAAAUUUCUUGCGGAAUGUGGCUUUUCGUGGCUCCGAUGAAAUUCUUGGCUCACCCAAUAAWGGAAAUUUUCUUGGAAUACURGAACUUCUAGCUCAGUAUGACCCCWUUUUSGCCGGACACAKCAAGGAACACGGAAAUAAGGGACGAGGACACGUAAAUUAUUUAUCCUCAACAAUAUGCGAGGAAAUUAUAACUUUGAUGGGGAAAAAAGUACAGGCAGAAAUAAUCAGCAGUAUAAAAAAAAAAAAAAAAAAUACUAUUCAAUAUCUGUUGAUUCAUCACCUGAUGAAGCACACAUCGAUCAAUUAACCAUUACUAUCAGAUACAUGGAAGGCUUGAAUCCAGUUGAACGAUUUUUAACUUUUAUUUCAAAUGGUGGUGACACAGGGUAAGAGAUGGCGAAUGCCCUUCUUUAGUUCCUAAUAAAACAUAGUAUUGACAUACAAGACUGCCCUGGUCAGUCGUACGAUACUGCUGCACCCAACAUGAGCGGCAAGUACAAAGGCAUGCAGGCAAGAAUUUCAGAAGAUAAUAAUAAUGCGGAUU
Molecule: long non-coding RNA, 1486 nt
Organism: Bactrocera latifrons
Lineage: Eukaryota; Metazoa; Arthropoda; Insecta; Diptera; Tephritidae
Exons: 3
Source: RefSeq, a predicted model, not a curated record